Molecule: ribosomal RNA, 490 nt
Filed under: uncultured bacterium
Lineage: Bacteria
Description: partial 16S ribosomal RNA
Rfam family: Bacterial small subunit ribosomal RNA
Source: RNAcentral
GAUGAACGCUAGCUACAGGCUUAACACAUGCAAGUCGCAGGGUAACAUGAGGAAAGCUUGCUUUCCUUGAUGACGACUGGCGCACGGGUGAGUAACGCGUAUCCAACCUUCCCAUAACUUCGGGAUAACCCGUUGAAAGACGGCCUAAUACCGUAUGAUAUCGUUUGCUGACAUCAAAUAACGAUUAAAGGUUUAGCGGUUAUGGAUGGGGAUGCGUCUGAUUAGCUUGUUGGCGGGGUAACGGCCCACCAAGGCGACGAUCAGUAGGGGUUCUGAGAGGAAGGUCCCCCACAUUGGAACUGAGACACGGUCCAAACUCCUACGGGAGGCAGCAGUGAGGAAUAUUGGUCAAUGGGCGAGAGCCUGAACCAGCCAAGUAGCGUGCAGGACGACGGCCCUAUGGGUUGUAAACUGCUUUUAUGUGGGGAUAAAGUGCGUGACGUGUCAUGCAUUGCAGGUACCACAUGAAUAAGGACCGGCUAAUUCCGUG